This 650-nucleotide ribosomal RNA is filed under the name uncultured bacterium. RNAcentral's name for it is "bacterial SSU rRNA". It matches the Rfam family "Bacterial small subunit ribosomal RNA", at positions 42 to 671 of the family's 1533-position model. The record is from RNAcentral.
UCAGGCCUAACACAUGCAAGUCGAGCGGAAACGAGUUAUCUGAACCUUCGGGGAACGAUAACGGCGUCGAGCGGCGGACGGGUGAGUAAUGCCUAGGAAAUUGCCCUGAUGUGGGGGAUAACCAUUGGAAACGAUGGCUAAUACCGCAUGAUGCCUACGGGCCAAAGAGGGGGACCUUCGGGCCUCUCGCGUCAGGAUAUGCCUAGGUGGGAUUAGCUAGUUGGUGAGGUAAGGGCUCACCAAGGCGACGAACCCCAGCUGGUCUGAGAGGAUGAUCAGCCACACUGGAACUGAGACACGGUCCAGACUCCUACGGGAGGCAGCAGUGGGGAAUAUUGCACAAUGGGCGCAAGCCUGAUGCAGCCAUGCCGCGUGUGUGAAGAAGGCCUUCGGGUUGUAAAGCACUUUCAGUCGUGAGGAAGGUAGUGUAGUUAAUAGCUGCAUUAUUUGACGUUAGCGACAGAAGAAGCACCGGCUAACUCCGUGCCAGCAGCCGCGGUAAUACGGAGGGUGCGAGCGUUAAUCGGAAUUACUGGGCGUAAAGCGCAUGCAGGUGGUUUGUUAAGUCAGAUGUGAAAGCCCGGGGCUCAACCUCGGAAUAGCAUUUGAAACUGGCAGACUAGAGUACUGUAGAGGGGAGUAGAAUUUCA